Non-coding RNA from Rhamnusium bicolor, 73 nucleotides. Lineage: Eukaryota; Metazoa; Arthropoda; Insecta; Coleoptera; Cerambycidae. The record is from the annotation of a GenBank genome assembly.
GCUCUGUGGUCAAGUGGUAAGGACACUUGUCUCUCACCCUGGAGACCCGGGUUCGAUCCCCAGUCGAGGAGCU